This 255-nucleotide ribosomal RNA is filed under the name uncultured bacterium. RNAcentral's name for it is "partial 16S ribosomal RNA". It matches the Rfam family "Bacterial small subunit ribosomal RNA", at positions 524 to 776 of the family's 1533-position model. The record is from RNAcentral.
UACGUAGGGUGCAAGCGUUAAUCGGAAUUACUGGGCGUAAAGCGUGCGCAGGCGGUUUUGUAAGUCUGUCGUGAAAUCCCCGGGCUUAACCUGGGAAUGGCAUUUGUGACUGCACGGCUAGAGUGUGUCGAGAGGGGGGUAGAAUUCCACGUGUAGCAGUGAAAUGCGUAGAUAUGUGGAGGAAUACCGAUGGCGAAGGCCAGCCCCCUGGGAUAACACUGACGCUCAUGCACGAAAGCGUGGGGAGCAAACAGG